GACGAACGCUGGCGGCGUGCCUAACACAUGCAAGUCGAGCGCAGAAGGUUGGCUUUUGUACCGACUGGAUGAGCAGCGAACGGGUGAGUCACGCGUGGCGACUCUGCCUUUGAGCGGGGGACCACAUUUGGAAACGUAUGCUAAUACCCCAUAAAAACUUUAAACACAAGUUUUUUGUUUGAAAGUUGCAUUUGCUUCACUCAAAUCUGAUUCCGCGUUUUAUUAGUUAGUUGGGGAGGUAAAGGCUCACCAAGGCGUUGAUACAGAGACGACUUGAGCGGGUGAGCGGCCACAUUGGGACUGAGACACGGCCCAAACUCCUACGGGAAGCAGCAGUAGGGAAACUUCGGCAAGGGACGAAAGGCUGACCGAGCAACGCCGCGGGAGUGAAGAAGGUUUUCGGAUCGUAAAACUCUGUUGGUAGAGAAGAAAGUUGGUGAGAGUGGAAAGCUCAUCAAGUGACGGUAACUACCCAGAAAGGAACGGCUAACUACGUG
This 497-nucleotide ribosomal RNA is filed under the name uncultured bacterium. RNAcentral describes it as "partial 16S ribosomal RNA". It matches the Rfam family "Bacterial small subunit ribosomal RNA", at positions 28 to 507 of the family's 1533-position model. The record is from RNAcentral.